RNAcentral lists this ribosomal RNA (534 nucleotides) under uncultured Lachnospiraceae bacterium. RNAcentral's name for it is "bacterial SSU rRNA". It matches the Rfam family "Bacterial small subunit ribosomal RNA", at positions 134 to 684 of the family's 1533-position model. The record is from RNAcentral. Lineage: Bacteria; Bacillati; Bacillota; Clostridia; Lachnospirales; Lachnospiraceae.
CAGAGGGGAAUAACGUUCUGAAAAGAACGCUAAUACCGCAUAACGUACAGUUACCGCAUGGUAGCAGUACCAAAGGAGCAAUCCGCUGAAAGAUGGACUCGCGUCCGAUUAGCUAGUUGGUGGGGUAAAGGCCUACCAAGGCGACGAUCGGUAGCCGGACUGAGAGGUUGAACGGCCACAUUGGGACUGAGACACGGCCCAGACUCCUACGGGAGGCAGCAGUGGGGGAUAUUGCACAAUGGGGGAAACCCUGAUGCAGCAACGCCGCGUGUGGGAAGAAGGUUUUCGGAUUGUAAACCACUGUUCUUGGUGAAGAUAAUGACGGUAACCAAGGAGAAAGCUCCGGCUAACUACGUGCCAGCAGCCGCGGUAAUACGUAGGGAGCAAGCGUUGUCCGGAUUUACUGGGUGUAAAGGGUGCGUAGGCGGCUAGGCAAGUCAGACGUGAAAACCAUGGGCUCAACCUGUGGACUGCGUUUGAAACUGUUUAGCUUGAGUGAAGUAGAGGUAGGCGGAAUUCCCGGUGUAGCGGUGA